AAAUUGGGGGUGCAUGGUCCAUUAAAGCUUAACUGAAAAUAAUUAAAAAAAGAAAAGAAGCUGGGCCGGACCGGGUCGGGUCAGGAUGACCCGGAUCCGCCUCUUCUCUCUUAAUGCAAGGUUGGGUUGGAAAAACCUAAAGAAAACAAACAAGAGGCAGCGCCUCUUCUUUCUCAAUUCACGUUCUCUGCUGGAAAAAAUUUCAUCUUCUCAGAACAAACAAAAACAGCAACUCGUCUCCUCUCUCUCACUCGUAGUAGAACAACAACAACAAAACCCUCGGUUUCCCUCACUGAUUUUCUCUCUCGAAUUCGUUCUCUGCUCUCUCUCGUUUUCACUCGCGAUCAACAACAACAAUGAUCUCGGCGGCCAUGGAAGAAGCUUGAAGAACCCAGUCACAUAGCGUAAACAAACAACGAUGACAACCUCCGCCUCUCUCUUGCCGUAAACAGCAAUAAUGACAACAACUCUCACUCGGUGCUCUAUGCGGUUUAGAUAGUAACACCGACCUCCUCUGUUCUAGCUUAUCAUCAUCAUCACUGAUUUUCAGAACCUCACAGAGAUUCAACCGAGUUUGACAAGUGAAGCAAUAAUUAUUUAUGCAGUCUAUGGUAGGAAAUUGAUCUACUGCAUCAAGAGGAUUAAAUUGCUAUCUAAAAGGAAGCGAGGAAAAAGAACCUGAUCGGAGCAAGUCCGAUGAAUCAAUUUCAGCGUCGGCUUUUGACAGCUAUGCACAAUAAUAACAUAUUUGCAAGAAUGAUUUAAACAAUAAUAUUUGAGCAUGAGGAUGAAUACAACUUACCUACGGCGAGGAGGUGUUCGCCGGUUUAUUGUUGAGGAUCCUUUGAUGAAGAUGAAGCCACCUCUCUUUGGAUAUUAGGGAGACUUGAAGGUGGCCUUCAAGUUGGAACUCUCCACCAAGGUAUGAAGAAUUUCUUCUUCACUCCCCUUCAAGAAACUAUGUAGCUAGAAACUCUUAUUUUUUCAAGUAGUUUUCUUUGAUUUGAAGAAUUUCUCCUUCUAACAAAGAAACAUGAAAACUAUAAGAGAAGAGGAAGAAGUGAGAAAGCUAGUAGUAUAGUAGCUUUGGUGUGAUUUGCAAUGAAGUGAGGCCUUCUAUUUAUAGGAAAAGUUAAGGGUGUGUUUGGCAUUUGGUAAACUUGAUUCAAUCAUUGCAAGAUAAGAAAAAGAAUAAGAAUAUUCUUUAUGAGAUUUUUCUCUUGCAAGUGGACAUGAAAUAUCUUUGAUUCCUUUUGUCUUGAAUUAUUUCUUUUUUUUGAAUUAUUUCUUUUGUUGGAUUUUUGCUAAUCCCACCCCUUUUUGUUUUGACUUGGGCUUUUGAAUACUUUGUUGAACUUUUUGCUAAUCUCACCCUUCUUGUUUCUUUUUCCAUGUGACAUGAGCAUUCUUGAUGAAAGCAUGAAGAAAUUCAAUUUUGAAGAAUGAAGACUUUGAAGAAUGAAGAAUUUAAGAAAGUCUUUGAAGCUUUUUUUCUUUUUCUUGUAAUUCCAAUUCAUUCCAACUUUAAAUUGUAUGAACUUUGCAUUCUUGAAAAUGAAUGGAAUUUUGUAAUUCUUGAACUUUAGAUAAAGUUUCUUUGUAAUUCAUUUGUUCCAUGUAAAUGCUUGAACUUCUUUU
Vicia villosa (hairy vetch) is the source of this 1638-nucleotide long non-coding RNA. RefSeq lists it as uncharacterized. The transcript is spliced from 5 exons. The record is from RefSeq and is a predicted model, not a curated record. NCBI's taxonomy places the organism in Eukaryota, Viridiplantae, Streptophyta, Magnoliopsida, Fabales, Fabaceae.